Long non-coding RNA from Panicum virgatum (switchgrass), 875 nucleotides. RefSeq lists it as uncharacterized. The transcript is spliced from 2 exons. Lineage: Eukaryota; Viridiplantae; Streptophyta; Magnoliopsida; Poales; Poaceae. The record is from RefSeq and is a predicted model, not a curated record.
AGACAAUGCCGGGGGCCACUUUAGGGCAUUUGUCGAGAUUACUAUCUUUCCUUGAAUUCGAAUGUAACCGGUUAUCUGAAAUAUAGUUCAACGGGUAAUGACUCACAUAUUGCUCUUUGAUACAGAGAGUCCGUCGGAGCUGCAGGCGGAUGGCCGCUAGGCUCAAUUGCAUGGCUCGGCCAGACGAGGCGUUUGGUCCAAAGGCCUAUGGUGCGGGAACUUCAAGUGCACGUGGCCCCACUUCCAGCAUACGGACACCGAUUCACUACGGUGCCGUAACCGCUACAACUCCAGGGCAUUCCGGUUCGAGAAGCCGUUCAAGGACCACUUCCAGGACUGGUUCACGUGCCUUGUCAAGGGGCAAAGCUAUCCAGUCAUCCGAAGGCAGUGAAGAGUCCGACCGCCAAGGCGACUCAGAAGAUGAGGACCCAAGCUUUCAGGUGCUUAGGAUGUCGCAGAUGUUUGAUGCUCCCCCAGGAACGUAGACUCAGGGUGAAUCAAGCCAGGCACCUCAGGAUGCACCCGCUUCUCCUCCGCGUCGCCGACAAAGGCGUUCUCGUGACCACAUCGAUGUUGGUAGCGCGAACGUGCUCCCAAAAGCUCCUGGAAGGCAACGGCGCCCCACCGACCCUUUUAGCCCUGCCGAGCGUGGACGACGCCGUAGAUGAAGAAGCACGGACACUUUGUUCUUAGAUGUAUUGUAAAAAUGCUACCUAGAACCUAUUUGUGCUUGUCAUGAACUAUUUAUGCUUCUCAUGAACUCUUUGUGUUUGACAUGGAUCACUUUAUGUUGUGAUGGAAAAGAUCCUUGUAAUGGACUACUGUAGCUUCUAAUGGGCUAUGUGCUUGUGUGGUGAUGGCUCUCUAUUUCUUUA